CUUAAAUUGAAGAGUUUGAUCAUGGCUCAGAUUGAACGCUGGCGGCAGGCCUAACACAUGCAAGUCGAGCGGAAACGAGUUAUCUGAACCUUCGGGGGACGAUAACGGCGUCGAGCGGCGGACGGGUGAGUAAUGCCUAGGAAAUUGCCCUGAUGUGGGGGAU
RNAcentral lists this ribosomal RNA (163 nucleotides) under Vibrio parahaemolyticus. RNAcentral describes it as "partial 16S ribosomal RNA". It matches the Rfam family "Bacterial small subunit ribosomal RNA", at positions 1 to 144 of the family's 1533-position model. Lineage: Bacteria; Pseudomonadati; Pseudomonadota; Gammaproteobacteria; Vibrionales; Vibrionaceae. The record is from RNAcentral.